RNAcentral lists this ribosomal RNA (475 nucleotides) under Onygenales sp. 6730-R1. RNAcentral describes it as "eukaryotic LSU rRNA". It matches the Rfam family "Eukaryotic large subunit ribosomal RNA", at positions 87 to 564 of the family's 3401-position model. The record is from RNAcentral. Lineage: Eukaryota; Fungi; Ascomycota; Eurotiomycetes; Onygenales.
CGGCGAGUGAAGCGGCAAAAGCUCAAAUUUGAAAUCUGGCUCCUUUAGGGGUCCGAGUUGUAAUUUGCAGAGGAUGCUUCGGGAGCGGCCACGGCUUAAGUGCCUUGGAACAGGACGUCAUAGAGGGUGAGAAUCCCGUCUUGAGUCGUUGGUCCGCGCCCAUGUGAAGCUCCUUCGACGAGUCGAGUUGUUUGGGAAUGCAGCUCUAAGCGGGUGGUAAAUUUCAUCUAAAGCUAAAUAUUGGCCGGAGACCGAUAGCGCACAAGUAGAGUGAUCGAAAGGUUAAAAGCACCUUGAAAAGGGAGUUAAACAGCACGUGAAAUUGUUGAAAGGGAAGCGCUUGCGGCCAGACUCGGGUACAGGGUUCAGCGGGUGCGUGUCACCCGUGUACUCCCUGUUUCUCGGGCCAGCAUCAGUUCUGACGGCCGGUCAAAGGCCUCUGGAAUGUGUCGUCUUUCGGGACGUCUUAUAGCCA